CUACGGGGUGCUGCAGUGAGGAAUAUUGCACAAUGGGGGGAACCCUGAUGCAGCAACGCCGCGUGGAGGAUGACGCAUUUCGGUGUGUAAACUCCUUUUAUAUGUCAAGAAAAUGACGGUAGCAUAUGAAUAAGCGCCGGCUAACUCCGUGCCAGCAGCCGCGGUAAUACGGAGGGCGCAAGCGUUACUCGGAAUCACUGGGCGUAAAGGACGCGUAGGCGGGUUGGAAAGUCAGGUGUGAAAUCCUACAGCUUAACUGUAGAACUGCACUUGAAACUUCUAAUCUAGAGUAUGGGAGGGGGAGAUGGAAUUAGUGGUGUAGGGGUAAAAUCCGUAGAUAUCACUAGGAAUACCUAAAGCGAAGGCGAUCUCCUGGAACAUUACUGACGCUAAGGCGUGAAAGCGUGGGGAGCAAACAGGAUUAGAUACCCCAGUAGUC
This 439-nucleotide ribosomal RNA is filed under the name uncultured bacterium. RNAcentral's name for it is "partial 16S ribosomal RNA". It matches the Rfam family "Bacterial small subunit ribosomal RNA", at positions 339 to 795 of the family's 1533-position model. The record is from RNAcentral.